GCGCCAGUAGCUCAGCUGGAUAGAGUACCUGGCUACGAACCAGGGGGUCGGAGGUUCGAAUCCUUCCGGGCGCGCCA
Molecule: transfer RNA, 77 nt
Filed under: Erythrobacter sp.
Lineage: Bacteria; Pseudomonadati; Pseudomonadota; Alphaproteobacteria; Sphingomonadales; Erythrobacteraceae
Description: tRNA-Arg
Rfam family: tRNA
About the family: Transfer RNA (tRNA) molecules are approximately 80 nucleotides in length. Their secondary structure includes four short double-helical elements and three loops (D, anti-codon, and T loops). Further hydrogen bonds mediate the characteristic L-shaped molecular structure. tRNAs have two regions of fundamental functional importance: the anti-codon, which is responsible for specific mRNA codon recognition, and the 3' end, to which the tRNAs corresponding amino acid is attached (by aminoacyl-tRNA synthetases). tRNAs cope with the degeneracy of the genetic code in two manners: having more than one tRNA (with a specific anti-codon) for a particular amino acid; and 'wobble' base-pairing, i.e. permitting non-standard base-pairing at the 3rd anti-codon position.
Source: RNAcentral